CACGAUGGAGAUGAAAGUUUGUGGGUCGAAAAUUUUAAAGAGAGAAAGUGGAGAGGAAUUUGAAAUUUGGGGGUUGGGGGACCGAAUUUUGACCUAUUUUUCUUUAUUUUUUUAUUUUGUUUUUUUUCGAUGAUAUAAGAUAAGGGUAUUUUAGUCUUUAAUUUAUUUUGAUAUACAAAAGAGUUACUUUUAAGUUGAGGCUAUUAAACACUAUAUUUUUAAAUAAUGGUAUUUAAAAACUUGGAAGCCAUAAGAAUAUAUAGGUGGUGUUCAGUUUGAUUAGA
Molecule: long non-coding RNA, 284 nt
Filed under: Salvia miltiorrhiza (redroot sage)
Lineage: Eukaryota; Viridiplantae; Streptophyta; Magnoliopsida; Lamiales; Lamiaceae
Description: long non-coding RNA (SMIL_LNC009930)
Source: RNAcentral